This 2693-nucleotide long non-coding RNA is filed under the name Solanum tuberosum (potato). Lineage: Eukaryota; Viridiplantae; Streptophyta; Magnoliopsida; Solanales; Solanaceae. The record is from RNAcentral.
CUGUUCUGAUCUAGGGUUUUACAGCUUUCACUUACUCCAUAAGAGUAAGCUCUGCCCCUUCGAGUUUACAGUUUUCAGUUUCUAUUAGAUUUGUUUGUUUUCAUCUAAUUUCCUUUGGCCUAUGAUUAAAAUUCUUAAAUAUAGACAAGCAUAUGUCUGAAUUUUCAUCAUGUUGAAUACCUAAUCUUCUCUAUGAGGCCAAUUACAUCUAUUUUUUUUUUUUAUGUUUUUCUAUCCAGAUUUCUACUUUUUGUGCUCAAUAAUUCAAACAAAAAACUGGGUCAUAUGAUGAUUAGAAGCAUAGUUCAAAUGAAAUCUAUGUGAUUACAAAACUUCUUUUUUAGUCUUUCGCUCCUAUCUGAUGACUCUUUUUAUUACUAUUAAAAAUCUGAUUUUUAAGCAAUUAAUUGUUGUAUUUUUUUUGAAAAAUUGAAAUGGUUAAUGGACAAUGACGAUUUAUCUAUUGGUCUCGUUCGUCGUAAUGGUGUUUAAACCACCUUGCCGACCAUUCUGAUAUAUCACCACCCAUAAACUGAGUCCUAUUACUAUACCUUUUUUUUUGUUUAUUUUUCAAUUUAGUUCUUCGUUUCUGGUGCUGUGAUGAAAAAAAUCUUGUGUCGGAGGCUUUUUGUCGCUGAUGGUUUACACAACCCUCUAAGAAGUUCUGAGCACUUUUUUUGUUUUCAAUUUCAGUAUUUUUUCUGAUUAUUUAGUAGUAGUAAUUGAAUGAUAAGUAAUUUAUUUUGAGGAUGAAUGAAGUGAUGAUAGAAUUCAUAUGUUAAUUCACUGAAUUACAUUUUUAUGAUGUUAAGAGUGAAUCCCGACAGGUUCUGAUCGUUUAUUAGUUAAUUAAUCCUCCAUUAAUUGUGAUUUUGCUUUGUUAAUUUUAUGUCUUGUGGGCAAAUGAUGAAAUUUUUAUAUCGUAAAUGGGUAAUUUGCGUCUGAAUCUUUCUUUGAUGUUAUAACCUUGGAGAACUGAUGCCCUUUAAACUUUUUACUUUGCAUUUUGUUUUCAUAAUGCCAAUUAGCAGAGCAAAGGUGUCUUUCACAAAUGACACACAUUUGCAUUGAAGGUUGGCUAUAUAUAUAUAGCGAUUCUCCGUGCCUUUCAAGCUUUUUUCUCGUAUUGAUUACGGCCUCGAACAAAUUGCUACAUUUUCUCCCUUCACUGUUGUGCUUAUUUGGUACCUUAGUUGCUUUGUUUUUAACGUAGACAAUUUGCAGAGCAAGGGUGUCUUUCAAAAUGACAUACAUUUGCAUUGAAGGUUGGCCAUAUGUAUAGCGAUUCUCCGUGCCUUUCAAGCUUUCUUCUCGUAUUGAUUACGGCCUCGAACAAAUUGCUACAUCCACCAAUUAUUAUGGUACAUUUAUCUAUAAAUUUGGUUAUAUAAAUGACUUGAUCUUGACAAUGAGUUUGUAUUAUCUAAUUUUAGUUUAAGUUUCUUAAUUAUGCAUAAACUAUUAAAUUUGUGAUCUUAGUAGUUACUCUCUGUAGUAAAUUUGUUUAUUAUCAUUGGCCGAUGAUUAAAUUUCUAAUAUAGACAAGCAUAUGACUGAAUUUUCAUUAUGUUGAAUACCUAAUCUUCUCUAUGAGGCCAAUCAUAUUUUUUCCAUAUUGUUAUGCUUCCUGUGUUCAAUAGUUUUAUAAAAAUAGUUUUUUUUUGUGUUGUCAUUGUUUAUAAACGGGUCAUAUGAUGAUUAAAAGCAUAGUUCAAAUGAAUUCUUUGUGAUUAUAAAACAAUCUUUAUAGUCUUUCGCUCCUAUCUGAUGACUCCUUUUUUAUUUGUGUUAAAGGUAUGAUUUGUUUUUGAAAAUUUUGAAAGGGUUAAUGGACUAUGACGACUUAUAUCUAUUGGUCUCGUUCGUCGUAAUGGUGUUUAAACCACCUUGCCGACCAUUCUGAUAUAUCACCACCCAUAAACUGAGUCCUAUUACUAAACUUUGCUAUUAAUUCUUUUAUUUUCCUGUUCAUUUUGAGAUGUAAUGGUUAUUUUUUACUUUUAUGGUGCUUUGAUGAAAAAAUCUUGUGUCGGAGACUCUGGUCUGUGAUGGCUUACACAACCCUCUAAGAAGUUCUGAGCACUAUUUUUUUUUUAUUUCCAAACACGGAGUAUUGUUUUUCUCGCAAGUAUUCAAUUUUUUAAGAUUAUUUGUUAUGUUAAUGUCUUGUGAGGAGUAACGAAGUGAUGAUAGAAUUCAUAAGUCUGUCAAUCCACUGAAAUACAUUUUAUGAUGUAAAGUGUGAAUCCCGACAGGUUCUGAUCGUUAAGUGAAUAAUCCUCCAUUUACUUUUCCUUUUUGCGCUUACUCAUUUUUGAACUUUAGUUUUAUGGGCAACUGAUGAAUCUUAUAUAUCGUAAAUGGGUAAUUUGCGUCUGAAUCUUUUCAUUGAUGCUAUCAACCUUGGAGAACUGAUGCCCUUGAAAAAUUUUAUUUUGUAUUUGAAUGAUUUUGAUGUGGGCUAGUAACUUUUGGAUGAUUGGUCUGAUAAGAGUAUAGGAGUGGGAAAUUAGGGUGAUCAGUGAUGGAGUGUAGGCCUCCCGUGAUGUGCCCUUGUUUCCUAGAGAAUGGCAAGUAACUAAUGUGGGAUCGUGUAACCGACAUUGCAAUCGAUGAUGACAACCCUUCCAAUACGAUUCAACAUCGGUUACUUUUCUACCAACUAAGUUAUGCAGCUGUCUUGGAGAUUGUAA